RNAcentral lists this unclassified non-coding RNA (583 nucleotides) under Monomorium pharaonis (pharaoh ant). Its description in RNAcentral is "uncharacterized LOC114254743, transcript variant X5". The record is from RNAcentral. Lineage: Eukaryota; Metazoa; Arthropoda; Insecta; Hymenoptera; Formicidae.
CGGCUGCAAAGUGAUACGGUCAACAUAUUUGUCUGAACAUAUUUUUGAAGGUUCCCAGCAAACACAGAACAUUGCAGCAACAUUGCGGCAAUGUUGUAAUAUUGCUGUAAUGUUGCUACAAUGUUAUAACAUUGCCGCAAUGUUGCUGCUAUGUUCUGUGUUUGCUGGGUUACUGAUAUAAUCAACCGUCUUUGUUGUAUUUGUUAUUAUUUUUGUGAGAAUGUCCGGAACGCCCCGUGAAUCUUAUUAUUAUAUUGGUAAUUAUGUCUUAUAACAUUAACAUACAUAAAAUUGCUUUCAGAAGUGCUUGCUUUUGCGGUUCAAUUUCUUUGUUAUUUGGAUUGGCCGCUGACUGACAAUCUACUGCUGGUUCUACGCUGUAGAAGUUUACGUGACAGGCAAAGCUCGCAUGGUGUACAGUGUCAGUAUUGCUUGGGAAGAGCCUACAGGAGGACAGUACCUAAAAGAUAUAACCUAAUUUAAAUUAAAUUGUAUUCGCGACACAUCGGGCCAUAUUCGCUAUAAACAAGUUUUGCCAAGUAUUAUAUUCACGUUAUAAUAAAAACAAAUUUAUAAUGUAAAA